Molecule: ribosomal RNA, 506 nt
Filed under: uncultured bacterium
Lineage: Bacteria
Description: partial 16S ribosomal RNA
Rfam family: Bacterial small subunit ribosomal RNA
Source: RNAcentral
GAUGAACGCUAGCUACAGGCUUAACACAUGCAAGUCGAGGGGUAACGAGAGGAAAGCUCGCUUUCCUUGUCGACGACCGGCGCACGGGUGAGUAACGCGUAUCCCACCUGCCCCCAACUAGGGAAUAACCUUGCGAAAGUAAGACUAAUACCCUAUAAUUUCCUCAGAUGUCAUCUGACGAGGAAUAACGAUUAAUCGGUUGUGGAUGGGGAUGCGUCUGAUUAGCUUGUUGGCGGGGUAACGGCCCACCAAGGCAACGAUCAGUAGGGGUUCUGAGAGGAAGGUCCCCGACAUUGGAACUGAGACACGGUCCAAAAUCCUACGGGAGGCAGAAGUGAGGAAUAUUGGUCAAUGGGCGGAAGCCUGAACCAGCCAAGUAGCGUGCAGGAUGACGGCCCUAUGGGUUGUAAACUGCUUUUAUACAGGAAUAAAGUUAGCCACGUGUGGUUAUUUGUAGGUACUGUAUGAAUAAGGACCGGCUAAUUCCGUGCCAGCAGCCGCAGUAA